This 1614-nucleotide unclassified non-coding RNA is filed under the name uncultured fungus. RNAcentral describes it as "sequence contains 18S rRNA gene, ITS1, 5.8S rRNA gene, ITS2, 28S rRNA gene". The stretch from base 522 to 1614 matches the Rfam family "Eukaryotic large subunit ribosomal RNA", at positions 1 to 961 of the family's 3401-position model. Lineage: Eukaryota; Fungi. The record is from RNAcentral.
GGAAGGAUCAUUAACACUUAUCCAUUACCAACCACGCGAACUAUUAUGUACCUGACGGCUUGGUCAAAACAAGUCACUGGGCUUAUACCCCACCUUGUCAAGCCGUCUUAUUUUCACAAACCACUUUACGUUUUGACUGACUGUUUGGCGUGCCUUAACCGGCCGCAUCAUCAAUCGAAACAACUUUCAGCAACGGAUAUCUUGGCUCUCGUAACGAUGAAGAACGCAGCGAAGUGCGAUAAGCAGUGCGAAUUGCAGAAUUCAGUGAAUCAUCAGAACUUUGAACGCAUCUUGCGCUCUUGGGAUAUACCUGGGAGCAUGUCUGUUUCAGUGUCUUUAAAGAUCCUCAAAGCUUUUGCUUUGGAUAAUGAGCGUCAACUUCUGUUGUCGCUUUAAGUUUAUGGCCGGGAGCUACGUAAAAGUUCUCUUCACUUUGCAGUGCAGUAGUCACGCCUUGCGUGAAUCUCACCGCAAGUGAAUGUAGAACUGUAGUUUUGACAGGCUUUAAUACUCUCUUAUUGAGACCUGAAAUCAGGCAAGAUUACCCGCUGAAUUUAAGCAUAUAACUAAGCGGAGGAAAAGAAACUAACAAGGAUCCCCUGAGUAACGGCGAGUGAAACGGGAGAAGCUCAACUUUAAAAUCCGAGUCCUUCGGGCCUGGAAUUGUAGUCUAUAGGUGCAACACUGGAGAGUGAACAGGUUUAAGUCUCCUGGAAUGGAGUAUCAUAGAGGGUGAGAAUCCCGUCUUUGGCCAUGUUCUACUUGAAAUAGUGUGUUACCAACGAGUCGGGUUGUUUGAGAAUGCAGCCCUAAAUGGGAGGUAAAUUUCUUCUAAAGCUAAAUAUUGACGAGAGACCGAUAGUGAACAAGUACCGUGAGGGAAAGAUGAAAAGAACUUUGAAAAGAGAGUUAAACAGUGCUUGAAAUUGCUGAAAGGGAAGCGAUUGAGACCAGUGUUGCUUCUGCAGAUUAGGACGAGCUGUAUGAGUUGCUUAGUCGUAGUGACCGCAAGGCACUUGAUUGGGUAUACAGAGUGCAGAGCGUUGUUAUUCUGUGGGAGCAGGUCAAGAUCAGUUCGAGUGGCGGGUUAAGGGCAGAAGGAAGGUGAGCAGUAGUUUCGGCUAUUGCUGUUAAGCCUUUUGUCUCUACCGUCGCUUGGACUGAGGUAUGCGAGACGCGCCGCAAGGCGGGGGAUGUGUGUGUCUGUUGGGCUUCUUCUUUUGGACAGUUUACUGUGCUUGGGAUGGAGUUUGGCAAAACUAUGCUACCACUAGCGUCUCCAGGAUCUUGACGAAAUGGUCUUAACCGACCCGUCUUGAAACACGGACCAAGGAGUCAAACAUAUAUGCGAGUAUUUGGGUGACAAACCCACAUGCGUAAUGAAAGUAAAAGGUGGGAACCGCAAGGGGCACCAUCGACCGACUUUCGACUUCUGUCAAGGUUUGAGUAAGAGCAUAUCUGUUUGGACCCGAAAGAUGGUGAACUAUGCCUGAGUAGGGUGAAGCCAGGGGAAACUCUGGUGGAGGCUCGUAGCGAUACUGACGUGCAAAUCGUUCGUCGAACUUGGGUAUAGGGGCGAAAGACUAAUCGAACCAUCUAGUAGCUGGUUCCCUC